AUACGUAGGGGGCGAGCGUUGUCCGGAAUGAUUGGGCGUAAAGGGCGCGUAGGCGGCCCGGUAAGUCUGGAGUGAAAGUCCUGUUUUUAAGAUGGGAAUUGCUUUGGAUACUGUCGGGCUUGAGUGCAGGAGAGGUAAGUGGAAUUCCCAGUGUAGCGGUGAAAUGCGUAGAGAUUGGGAGGAACACCAGUGGCGAAGGCGACUUACUGGACUGUAACUGACGCUGAGGCGCGAAAGUGUGGGAGCAAACAGGAUUAGAUACCCUGGUAGUCCACACUGUAAACGAUGAAUGCUAGGUGUAGGGGGUAUCGACCCCUUCUGUUCCGCAGUCAACACAAUAAGCAUUCCGCCUGGGGAGUACGGCCGCAAGGUUGAAACUCAAAGGAAUUGACGGGG
This 396-nucleotide ribosomal RNA is filed under the name uncultured bacterium. RNAcentral's name for it is "partial 16S ribosomal RNA". It matches the Rfam family "Bacterial small subunit ribosomal RNA", at positions 523 to 918 of the family's 1533-position model. The record is from RNAcentral.